RNAcentral lists this ribosomal RNA (253 nucleotides) under uncultured bacterium. RNAcentral's name for it is "partial 16S ribosomal RNA". It matches the Rfam family "Bacterial small subunit ribosomal RNA", at positions 524 to 776 of the family's 1533-position model. The record is from RNAcentral.
UACGUAGGGUGCAAGCGUUGUCCGGAAUUAUUGGGCGUAAAGAGCUCGUAGGCGGUUCGUCGCGUCGGCUGUGAAAUCCCGGAGCUCAACUCCGGGUCUGCAGUCGAUACGGGCGGACUCGAGUUCGGCAGGGGAGACUGGAAUUCCUGGUGUAGCGGUGAAAUGCGCAGAUAUCAGGAAGAACACCCGUGGCUAAGGCGGCUCUCUAGUACGGUACUGACGCUGAGACGCGAAAGCGUGGGGAGCGAACAGG